This 492-nucleotide ribosomal RNA is filed under the name uncultured bacterium. RNAcentral describes it as "partial 16S ribosomal RNA". It matches the Rfam family "Bacterial small subunit ribosomal RNA", at positions 29 to 507 of the family's 1533-position model. The record is from RNAcentral.
AGUGAACGCUGGCGGUAGGCCUAACACAUGCAAGUCGAACGGCAGCACAGUAAGGGCUUGCUCUUACGGGUGGCGAGUGGCGGACGGGUGCGGAAUACAUCGGAAUCUACUUUUUCGUGGGGGAUAACGUAGGGAAACUUACGCUACUACCGCAUACGACCUACGGGUGAAAGCAGGGGAUCUUCGGACCUUGCGUGAUUGAAUGAGCCGAUGUCGGAUUAGCUAGUUGGCGGGGUAAAGGCCCACCAAGGCGACGAUCCGUAGCUGGUCUGAGAGGAUGAUCAGCCACACUGGAACUGAGACACGGCCCAGACUCCUACGGGAGGCAGCAGUGGGGAAUAUUGGACAAAGGGCGCAAGCCUGAUCCAGCCAUACCGCGUGGGUGAAGAAGGCCUUCGGGUUGUAAAGCCCUUUUGUUGGGAAAGAAAAGCAGCAGGUUAAUACCCCGCUGUUCUGACGGUACCCAAAGAAUAAGCACCGGCUAACUUCGUG